GGGGAAUAUUGCGCAAUGGGCGAAAGCCUGACGCAGCAACGCCGCGUGCGGGAUGACGGCCUUCGGGUUGUAAACCGCUUUCAGCAGGGACGAAGGGUUUCUGACGGUACCUGCAGAAGAAGCACCGGCUAACUACGUGCCAGCAGCCGCGGUGAUACGUAGGGUGCGAGCGUUGUCCGGAAUUAUUGGGCGUAAAGAGCUUGUAGGCGGUCCGUUGCGUCGGAAGUGAAAACUCGGGGCUUAACCCCGAGCCUGCUUUCGAUACGGGCGGACUUGAGGGAUGUAGGGGAGAACGGAAUUCCUGGUGGAGCGGUGGAAUGCGCAGAUAUCAGGAGGAACACCAGUGGCGAAGGCGGUUCUCUGGACAUUUCCUGACGCUGAGAAGCGAAAGCGUGGGGAGCAAAC
RNAcentral lists this ribosomal RNA (405 nucleotides) under uncultured bacterium. RNAcentral describes it as "bacterial SSU rRNA". It matches the Rfam family "Bacterial small subunit ribosomal RNA", at positions 356 to 773 of the family's 1533-position model. The record is from RNAcentral.